UGACNUGAGUGCAGAAGGGGAGAGUGGAAUUCCAUGUGUAGCGGUGAAAUGCGUAGAUAUAUGGAGGAACNCCAGUGGCGAAAGCGGCUCUCUGGUCUGUCACUGACGCUGAGGCUCGAAAGCGUGGGUAGCGANCAGGAUUAGAUACCCUGGUAGUCCACGCCGUAAACGAUGAGUGCUAGGUGUUAGGCCCUUUCCGGGGCUUAGUGCCGGAGCUAACGCAAUAAGCACUCCGCCUGGGGAGUACGACCGCAAGGUUGAAACUCAAAGGAAUUGACGGGGGCCCGCACAAGCGGUGGAGCAUGUGGUUUAAUUCGAAGCAACGCGAAGAACCUUACCAGGUCUUGACAUCCCGAUGCUAUUCUUAGAGAUAGGAAGUUACUUCGGUACAUCGGAGACAGGUGGUGCAUGGUUGUCGUCAGCUCGUGUCGUGAGAUGUUGGGUUAAGUCCCGCAACGAGCGCAACCCUUAUUGUUAGUUGCCAUCAUUAAGUUGGGCACUCUAGCGAGACUGCCGGUAAUAAACCGGAGGAAGGUGGGGAUGACGUCAAAUCAUCAUGCCCCUUAUGACCUGGGCUACACACGUGCUACAAUGGUCGGUACAACGAGUUGCGAGCCGGUGACGGCAAGCUAAUCUCUGAAAGCCGAUCUCAGUUCGGAUUGGAGGCUGCAACUCGCCUCCAUGAAGUCGGAAUCGCUAGUAAUCGCGGAUCAGCACGCCGCGGUGAAUACGUUCCCGGGCCUUGUACACACCGCCCGUCACACCACGAGAGUUUGUAACACCCGAAGUCGGUGAGGUANCCUUUUAGGG
Molecule: ribosomal RNA, 810 nt
Filed under: uncultured bacterium
Lineage: Bacteria
Description: bacterial SSU rRNA
Rfam family: Bacterial small subunit ribosomal RNA
Source: RNAcentral